This 630-nucleotide ribosomal RNA is filed under the name uncultured Actinomycetes bacterium. Its description in RNAcentral is "bacterial SSU rRNA". It matches the Rfam family "Bacterial small subunit ribosomal RNA", at positions 30 to 672 of the family's 1533-position model. Lineage: Bacteria; Bacillati; Actinomycetota; Actinomycetes. The record is from RNAcentral.
CGAACGCUGGCGGGUGCUUACAAUGCUGAAGAACGAGGUCCAUCCGAUCCUCGGAUGUAGUGAAGACCUAGUGGCGAACGGGUGCGUAACACGUGAGAAACCUGCCCCGGUCUCUGGGAUAACAGUUGGAAACGACUGCUAAUACCGGAUGCCGUCGGACCGUCGCAUGGCGGACCGACGAAAGGGUUACCGGAUCGGGAGGGUCUCGCGGCCUAUCAGCUUGUUGGUGAGGUAACGGCUCACCAAGGCAUCGACGGGUAGCUGGUCUGAGAGGAUGAUCAGCCACACUGGGACUGAGACACGGCCCAGACUCCUACGGGAGGCAGCAGUGGGGAAUAUUGCACAAUGGGCGAAAGCCUGAUGCAGCAACGCCGCGUGCGGGAUGAAGGCCCUAGGGUUGUAAACCGCUUUCAGCAGGGAAGAAAAUGACGGUACCUGUAGAAGAAGGUGCGGACAACUACGUGCCAGCAGCCGCGGUGACACGUAGGCACCAAGCGUUGUCCGGAUUUAUUGGGCGUAAAGAGCUCGUAAGCGGUUCAGUAAGUCGGGUGUGAAAACUCUGGGCUCAACCCAGAGACGCCACCCGAUACUGCUGUGACUAGAGUGCGGUACGGGAGCGGGGAAUCCUAG